Molecule: ribosomal RNA, 253 nt
Filed under: uncultured bacterium
Lineage: Bacteria
Description: partial 16S ribosomal RNA
Rfam family: Bacterial small subunit ribosomal RNA
Source: RNAcentral
UACGAGGGGGGCAAGCGUUGUUCGGAGUUAUUGGGCGUAAAGGGCGCGUAGGCGGUCUGAUAAGUCUGAUGUGAAAUCUCUGGGCUCAACCCAGAGUCUGCAUUAGAAACUGUCGGGCUUGAGUAUGGGAGAGGUGCGUGGAAUUUCCGGUGUAGCGGUGAAAUGCGUAGAUAUCGGAAGGAACACCUGUGGCGAAAGCGGCGCACUGGACCAAAACUGACGCUGAGGCGCGAAAGCUAGGGGAGCGAAUGGG